CGUAGGGUGCGAGCGUUAAUCGGAAUUACUGGGCGUAAAGCGUGCGCAGGCGGUUUUGUAAGACAGAUGUGAAAUCCCCGGGCUCAACCUGGGACCUGCAUUUGUGACUGCAAGGCUAGAGUACGGUAGAGGGGGAUGGAAUUCCGCGUGUAGCAGUGAAAUGCGUAGAUAUGCGGAGGAACACCGAUGGCGAAGGCAAUCCCCUGGACCUGUACUGACGCUCAUGCACGAAAGCGUGGGGAGCAAACAGGAUUAGAUACCCUGGUAGUCCACGCCCUAAACGAUGUCAACUGGUUGUUGGGUCUUUACUGACUCAGUGACGAAGCUAACGCGUGAAGUUGACCGCCUGGGGAGUACGGCCGCAAGGUUG
RNAcentral lists this ribosomal RNA (370 nucleotides) under uncultured organism. RNAcentral describes it as "bacterial SSU rRNA". It matches the Rfam family "Bacterial small subunit ribosomal RNA", at positions 526 to 896 of the family's 1533-position model. The record is from RNAcentral.